AGAAAGAACGCUGGCGGCAUGCCUAACACAUGCAAGUUGAACGGAUAAAGUUUCUAGCUUGCUAGAAAUUUUAUUAGUGGCAAACGGGUGAGUAACACGUAGGAAUCUGCCCUGUAGUACGGAACAACAAUUGGAAACGAUUGCUAAUACCGUAUACGCUCGAAAGAGGAAAGAUUUAUCGCUAUAGGAUGAGCCUGCGCUAGAUUAGGUAGUUGGUAGGGUAAUGGCCUACCAAGCCUAUGAUCUAUAGCUGGUCUAAGAGGACGAUCAGCCACACUGGAACUGAGAUACGGUCCAGACUCCUACGGGAGGCAGCAGUGGGGAAUAUUGGACAAUGGGCGCAAGCCUGAUCCAGCAAUGUCGCGUGAAUGAUGAAGGCCUUAGGGUUGUAAAGUUCUUUCGGCGGGGAAGAAAUUGACGGUACCGCAGAAGAGCUCCGGCUAACUCCGUGCCAGCAGCCGC
RNAcentral lists this ribosomal RNA (462 nucleotides) under uncultured bacterium. RNAcentral's name for it is "SSU rRNA". It matches the Rfam family "Bacterial small subunit ribosomal RNA", at positions 26 to 518 of the family's 1533-position model. The record is from RNAcentral.